GACGAACGCUGGCGGCGUGCUUAACACAUGCAAGUCGAACGGAAAGGCCCUGCUUUUGUGGGGUGCUCGAGUGGCGAACGUGUGAGUAACACGUGAGUAACCUGCCCUUGACGUUGGGAUAACUUCAGGAAACUGGUGCUAAUACCGGAUAGGAGCUCCUGCUGCAUGGGGGGGGUUGGAAAGUUUCGGCGGUUGGGGAUGGACUCGCGGCUUAUCAGCUUGUUGGUGGGGUAGUGGCUUACCAAGGCAUUGACGGGUAGCCUGCCUGAGAGGGUGACCGGACAGAUUGGGACGGAGAUACGGCACAGACUACUCCGGGAGGCAGCAGUGGGGAAUAUUGCACUGUGGGAGGAAGGAUGAUGCAGCAAAGCCGCGUGGGGGAUGACGGCCUUCGGGUUGUAAACCGCUUUCGCAUGUGACGAAGCGUGAGUGACGGUAAUGGGUAAAGAAGCACCGGCUAACUACGUG
This 468-nucleotide ribosomal RNA is filed under the name uncultured bacterium. Its description in RNAcentral is "partial 16S ribosomal RNA". It matches the Rfam family "Bacterial small subunit ribosomal RNA", at positions 28 to 507 of the family's 1533-position model. The record is from RNAcentral.